RNAcentral lists this unclassified non-coding RNA (260 nucleotides) under Hevea brasiliensis (rubber tree). Lineage: Eukaryota; Viridiplantae; Streptophyta; Magnoliopsida; Malpighiales; Euphorbiaceae. The record is from RNAcentral.
AGCGUGGGAGAGUCAGCGGAAGGCUUACACAUCUGAGUUCAUUGAGCUCGAUCUUUGUAUUGAAGAUAUAGAAUCAUUUUGGAAGGACAAGGAAAAGCAGGCCGAUGUUGUUUUCUGCAUGCACAAUUUACAGGCGUGCUUUGAUAGUGAAGAGAAAGCAAGGAGGCUAUUGCAUAAUGUAUCAGCUUUGCUUAAACCUGGGGGUUACUUUCUUGGUAUUACUCCUGACUCAUCUACUAUAUGGGCAAAGUACCAGAAGA